Molecule: long non-coding RNA, 241 nt
Filed under: Lathyrus oleraceus (garden pea)
Lineage: Eukaryota; Viridiplantae; Streptophyta; Magnoliopsida; Fabales; Fabaceae
Description: Pisum sativum (pea) long non-coding RNA (PSAT_LNC035328)
Source: RNAcentral
AAACUACAACCCAAUUAGAAGGGACCAUACAUAGUACAAAAGAAGUUAUCCCUAAGAGCUUAUAGGCCAGAGAAUCUAGAAGGGAACGAGGUUCUAAGGAUGUGGAAUGCAGUGAAUUUGAGGCACUACUUUAGUUAAAGGAAAAUUCAUGUGUCAAAAAUAACUUUUAACAAUGUACUUUGAAAUUGUGAAUAAGUAGCAUCCUGUGGUACCACUUUUUCCCUUGCAAGGGAGGGGUUUU